UACGGGGGGGGCAAGCGUUGUUCGGAAUUACUGGGCGUAAAGGGCUUGUAGGUGGCCAACUAAGUCAGACGUGAAAUCCCUCGGCUUAACCGGGGAACUGCGUCUGAUACUGGAUGGCUAGAGUGUGGGAGAGGGAUGCGGAAUUCCAGGUGUAGCGGUGAAAUGCGUAGAUAUCUGGAGGAACACCGGUGGCGAAGGCGGCAUCCUGGACCAACACUGACACUGAAAAGCGAAAGCCAGGGGAGCAAACGGG
RNAcentral lists this ribosomal RNA (253 nucleotides) under uncultured bacterium. RNAcentral describes it as "partial 16S ribosomal RNA". It matches the Rfam family "Bacterial small subunit ribosomal RNA", at positions 524 to 776 of the family's 1533-position model. The record is from RNAcentral.